This 279-nucleotide ribosomal RNA is filed under the name uncultured bacterium. Its description in RNAcentral is "partial 16S ribosomal RNA". It matches the Rfam family "Bacterial small subunit ribosomal RNA", at positions 506 to 784 of the family's 1533-position model. The record is from RNAcentral.
UGCCAGCCGCCGCGGUAAUACGUAGGGGGCAAGCGUUGUCCGGAAUCACUGGGCGUAAAGGGCGCGUAGGCGGCCUGUUAAGUUGAAUGUGAAAUCCCAGGGCUCAACCCUGGACGUGCAUUCAAAACUGGCGGGCUUGAGUAUGGUAGAGGUAAGUGGAAUUCCUAGUGUAGCGGUGGAAUGCGUAGAUAUUAGGAGGAACACCAGUGGCGAAGGCGACUUACUGGGCCAUAACUGACGCUGAGGCGCGAAAGUGUGGGGAGCAAACAGGAUUAGAUA